UUAGUGAAAUAACCUGGGACUUCAUGUCCCAAACCUUCUCACAUCCACACACCUUUGUGCACUGUUGGACGGUUCUUUAUUUUUAUUUUUAUUUUCUAAAAUAAAAUAGAGGUACUGUCCUAUUAUUUUACAAACAUCUUAUGUAUGUAAGGAACGUUUUAUUCAAUGCUCUAGCAGCACUGAAAUAAAUAAAGUUAAAACAAAACUUUCAACAACGGAUCUCUUGGCUCUCACAUCGAUGAAGAACGCAGCGAAAUGCGAUAAGUAAUGUGAAUUGCAGAAUUCAGUGAAUCAUCGAAUCUUUGAACGCAUCUUGCGCUCCUUGGUAUUCCGAGGAGCAUGCCUGUUUGAGUGUCAUGAAUCUAUCAAACUACAAUUGUUUUUAUUAAUAAUUGUCUGUUUGGACAUUGGAUGCUUGCUGGACAAUUAUAUGUAACCCGGCUCAUCUGAAAUAUAUUAGCUGAUCCUAAUAUCAUGGAUUUAUCCACUUGGCGUGAUAAGUAUCACCCGCUGAGGACUUGUCCUGAAAUAAUGGAUUGCUUCUAAUCAUAGAUACUACUGUAUCAUACUGAAUCAUCUGACCUCAAAUCAGGUAGGACUACCCGCUGAACUUAAGCAUAUCAAUAAGCGGAGGAAAAGAAACCAACAGGGAUUCCCUUAGUAACGGCGAGUGAAGUGGGAAAAGCUCAAAUUUGUAAUCUGGCAGCCUCAGGUUGUCCGAGUUGUAGCCUAGAGAAGUGUUUUCCGUGCUGGACCAUGUACAAGUCCUUUGGAACAAGGUGUCUUAGAGGGUGAGAAUCCCGUACAUGACAUGGAUCACCAGUGCUUCUGUGAUACACUCUCCAAGAGUCGAGUUGUUUGGGAAUGCAGCUCU
Molecule: ribosomal RNA, 874 nt
Filed under: uncultured fungus
Lineage: Eukaryota; Fungi
Description: eukaryotic LSU rRNA
Rfam family: Eukaryotic large subunit ribosomal RNA (bases 579-874)
Source: RNAcentral